This 468-nucleotide ribosomal RNA is filed under the name uncultured bacterium. Its description in RNAcentral is "partial 16S ribosomal RNA". It matches the Rfam family "Bacterial small subunit ribosomal RNA", at positions 28 to 507 of the family's 1533-position model. The record is from RNAcentral.
GACGAACGCUGGCGGCGUGCUUAACACAUGCAAGUCGAACGGAAAGGCCCUGCUUUUGUGGGGUGCUCGAGUGGCGAACGGGUGAGUAACACGUGAGUAACCUGCCCUUGACUUUGGGAUAACUUCAGGAAACUGGGGCUAAUACCGGAUAGGAGCUCCUGCUGCAUGGUGGGGGUUGGAAAGUUUCGGCGGUUGGGGAUGGACUCGCGGCUUAUCAGCUUGUUGGUGGGGUAGUGGCUUACCAAGGCUUUGACGGGUAGCCGGCCUGAGAGGGUGACCGGCCACAUUGGGACUGAGAUACGGCCCAGACUCCUACGGGAGGCAGCAGUGGGGAAUAUUGCACAAUGGGCGGAAGCCUGAUGCAGCAACGCCGCGUGCGGGAUGACGGCCUUCGGGUUGUAAACCGCCUUCGCCUGUGACGAAGCGUGAGUGACGGUAAUGGGUAAAGAAGCACCGGCCAACUACGUG